CCACUCCCGGGAGGUCUGCGCAGGUUUUAUUCGUGAGUGUUGCGACACGUUUCAGACCGUUCCUCCUCCAGCCUUCUCCAUUUCCAUCAUGGGCUCCUUCCUCCCCACAGGGCUUUGAAAAGAAAUGGACAAUGAAAGAGCUGGUUCUGGGGUACAGAGUUUUCUUUCUCUGCGGUGCCUGUUGGUUUAUCACAAUCUUGAAGCGAGUAUCCAAUGUCUGGAUAAAUCUGCUGGAAAACAACAGACGGCCAAUCCCAGUGCCUGGAUGAGGACAAAAACACCCAUCAAAGAAGGAGAAACGCACAGAGUUCUGCUAAUUCUGAGAUCAC
Molecule: long non-coding RNA, 329 nt
Organism: Hirundo rustica (Barn swallow)
Lineage: Eukaryota; Metazoa; Chordata; Aves; Passeriformes; Hirundinidae
Exons: 3
Source: RefSeq, a predicted model, not a curated record